RNAcentral lists this ribosomal RNA (256 nucleotides) under uncultured bacterium. Its description in RNAcentral is "partial 16S ribosomal RNA". It matches the Rfam family "Bacterial small subunit ribosomal RNA", at positions 524 to 776 of the family's 1533-position model. The record is from RNAcentral.
UACGUAGGGUCCGAGCGUUUGUCCGGAAUUACUGGGCGUAAAGAGCUCGUAGGUGGUUUGUCGCGUUGUUCGUGAAAACUCACAGCUCAACUGUGGGCGUGCGGGCGAUACGGGCAGACUUGAGUACUGCAGGGGGAGACUGGAAUUCCUGGUGUAGCGGUGGAAUGCGCAGAUAUCAGGAGGAACACCGGUGGCGAAGGCGGGUCUCUGGGCAGUAACUGACGCUGAGGAGCGAAAGCGUGGGGGAGCGAACAGG